RNAcentral lists this ribosomal RNA (399 nucleotides) under Triticum aestivum (bread wheat). RNAcentral describes it as "partial small subunit ribosomal RNA". Lineage: Eukaryota; Viridiplantae; Streptophyta; Magnoliopsida; Poales; Poaceae. The record is from RNAcentral.
AUGCACAUGCUCAAGGCGUUUAGAGAUUGCCUUGACGACUGUGAGCUACAUGAUAUGGACUAUAUUGGGGAUAAAUACACCUGGAGACGCGCUGAUGUUCGUGAGCGACUGGACCGUGCUGUGUGUAGUACACAAUGGACAUCAGAUUAUCCCAAUAUAGCAGUCAUCCACGAGAAGCAUUACAGGUCUGACCAUAGGCCUAUUUUGGUUGACACGGAAUUUUAUAAAACUGGCCAGAUUAGGCGUCGUUCUGGCAGGAGAAAAUUUGAAGCUAGAUGGUUAUCUAAAGAUACUGUAGACGAUGUGGUUGCUACUGCAUGGGCGAAGGAAAAUCUGAGAGGUUUGGGUCAAAGUUUGGCUUCACAAACCCAUGCGGUACACAAUGACCUUCAUAGUUGA